RNAcentral lists this unclassified non-coding RNA (374 nucleotides) under soil metagenome. RNAcentral describes it as "partial contains 5.8S ribosomal RNA, internal transcribed spacer 2, and large subunit ribosomal RNA". The stretch from base 1 to 120 matches the Rfam family "5.8S ribosomal RNA", at positions 35 to 154 of the family's 154-position model. The record is from RNAcentral.
GAUGAAGAACGUAGCGAAGUGCGAUAAGUAAUGUGAAUUGCAGAAUUCCGUGAAUCAUCGAAUCUUUGAACGCAAAUUGCACUUUCUGGUAUUCCGGAGAGUAUGCCUGUUUGAGGGUCAGUGUAAUAAAAAUAAAUCGUGGUUACCACUUUUCGUGGUGACGCUUCGGAAUUGAGUCGUCUUACCUUCGGUUAAGUGACUUAAAAUUUUUUCAUACGAUUUCGAAACGUAUUUAAUGUAUUAUGUAUUUUCACGAAUAUCGAAUGUUUAUUAGGUGCGGUCAUUUUCAUGAAUUCGCGUCUAUAAUUUUUUUUUUUUUGACCUCAAAUCAGGUAAGAAUACCCGCUGAACUUAAGCAUAUCAAAAGCGGAGGA